GACAGAAGGGGCAAGCGUUACUCGGAAUUACUGGGCGUAAAGCGUCCGUAGGGGUCCUCCCACGUCUGGGGUAAAAACACGAUGCUCAACAUCGUGCCCGUCCCGGAAACGAGGAGGAUCGAGUCAUUCAGAGGCAUCUUGAAUGCCGUGUGUAGGGGUAAAAUCCGUAGAUCCACGGUAGAACGCCAAAAGCGAAGGCAGGAUGCUGGGAAUGCACUGACACUCAAGGACGAAAGCGUGGGGAGCAAACGGG
This 253-nucleotide ribosomal RNA is filed under the name uncultured bacterium. RNAcentral describes it as "partial 16S ribosomal RNA". It matches the Rfam family "Bacterial small subunit ribosomal RNA", at positions 524 to 776 of the family's 1533-position model. The record is from RNAcentral.